Molecule: non-coding RNA, 197 nt
Filed under: Methylophaga lonarensis
Lineage: Bacteria; Pseudomonadati; Pseudomonadota; Gammaproteobacteria; Thiotrichales; Piscirickettsiaceae
Also listed under: 1 other name
Source: RNAcentral
AAGAUUCGCGCCUCUUCAGGUGCUUUGAUAUUUAUCUGAGUUAAACGGGAAGUUGGUGCAAAACCAACACUGCCCCCGCAACGGUAAGCGUUGAAAAGUGCAUCCAAUCAGCCACUGCGAAUUAAUCGUGGGAAGGCGGAUGCAUCGGCUUAGGCCACAACGUGAGUCCGGAUACCGGCCUGAAGUUCAUCACAGCC